AGCAACCACGUGACCCUAGAUCUGUAUCUAGAGGGAACGGGAAGAUUGGCUACGCACAGGCAAGGAUUUAACAGAUGAAUCAUUGGUUUUGUGUCGUUUUGAUUAAAUAUCUAUUUUAUUUUAGUAUCCUCAUUAUGCAGGCUAUUCAAAUGAUAUUAUGUGAGCCUAGGAGCCACGAGAUCUAAGAUCCAGCUGACGGAUCUAGAUCUGGUUCUUAUGAUGGACCUUUUUCAGUUGUAUAGUUUGUUUGUAAAUCAUAUUUGUGGUUUUGGAC
Molecule: long non-coding RNA, 274 nt
Filed under: Panax ginseng (ginseng)
Lineage: Eukaryota; Viridiplantae; Streptophyta; Magnoliopsida; Apiales; Araliaceae
Description: long non-coding RNA (PGIN_LNC007913)
Source: RNAcentral